RNAcentral lists this non-coding RNA (21 nucleotides) under Caenorhabditis elegans. Lineage: Eukaryota; Metazoa; Nematoda; Chromadorea; Rhabditida; Rhabditidae. The record is from RNAcentral.
UCAGCAUAUAUUCGAAUUUGA